UCGAGGAUCUUCGGCAAUGGGCGCAAGCCUGACCGAGCGACGCCGCGUGUGCGAUGAAGGCCUUCGGGUUGUAAAGCACUGUCGAGGGGGAGAAAAGCCCGCAAGGGUCUGAUCUAUCCCUGGAGGAAGCACGGGCUAAGUUCGUGCCAGCAGCCGCGGUAAGACGAACCGUGCGAACGUUGUUCGGAUUCACUGGGCUUAAAGGGCGCGUAGGCGGACGGUCAAGUCGGGGGUGAAAUCUUUCAGCUUAACUGGAAACGUGCCUCCGAUACUGAUCGUCUCGAGGGAGGCAGGGGCAUGCGGAACUUCCGGUGGAGCGGUGAAAUGCGUAGAUAUCGGAAGGAACGCCGGUGGCGAAAGCGGCGUGCUGGACCUCUUCUGACGCUGAGGCGCGAAAGCUAGGGGAGCGAACGGGAUUAGAUACCCCCGUAGUCC
Molecule: ribosomal RNA, 435 nt
Filed under: uncultured bacterium
Lineage: Bacteria
Description: bacterial SSU rRNA
Rfam family: Bacterial small subunit ribosomal RNA
Source: RNAcentral